Molecule: ribosomal RNA, 468 nt
Filed under: uncultured bacterium
Lineage: Bacteria
Description: partial 16S ribosomal RNA
Rfam family: Bacterial small subunit ribosomal RNA
Source: RNAcentral
GACGAACGCUGGCGGCAUGCUUAACACAUGCAAGUCGAACGAAAAGGCCCUGCUUUUGUGGGGUGCUCGAGUGACGAACGGGUGAGUAACACGUGAGUAACCUGCCCUUGACUUUGGGAUAACUUCAGAAAACUGGAGCUAAUACCGCAUAGGAGCUCCUGCUGCAUGGUGGGGGUUGGAAAGUUUCGGCGGUUGGUGAUGGACUCGCGGCUUAUCAGCUUGUUGGUGGGGUAGUGGCAUACCAAGGCUUUGAAGGGUAGCCGGCCUGAGAGGGUGACCGGCCACACUGGGACUGAGAUACGGCCCAGACUCCUACGGGAGGCAGCAGUGGGGAAUAUUGCACUAUGGGCGGAAGGCAGAUGCAGCAACGCCGCGCGCGGGAUGACGGCCUUCGGGUUGUAAACCGCUGUCGCCUGUGACGAAGCGUGAGUGACGGUAAUGGGUAAAUAAGCACCGGCUAACUACGUG